This is a long non-coding RNA of Vespa mandarinia (Asian giant hornet), 139 nucleotides long. The record is from RefSeq and is a predicted model, not a curated record. NCBI's taxonomy places the organism in Eukaryota, Metazoa, Arthropoda, Insecta, Hymenoptera, Vespidae.
ACGACAGACAACGACACACGGAGCAAUAAGCAGCAGUGAAUGGUACGAAGAGACAUUGCGUACUCCUGGAAAUACAGAGUUUAUUUAUAGGAAUUCGUCCUCCGGUCGACUAUCAGCAAACGCCCAUAGAAGACAAGAA